This 331-nucleotide ribosomal RNA is filed under the name uncultured bacterium. Its description in RNAcentral is "bacterial SSU rRNA". It matches the Rfam family "Bacterial small subunit ribosomal RNA", at positions 8 to 334 of the family's 1533-position model. The record is from RNAcentral.
AGGGUUUGAUUAUGGCUCAGGACGAACGCUGGCGGCGCGCCUAACACAUGCAAGUCGAACGAGCGAGAGAGAGCUUGCUUUCUCGAGCGAGUGGCGAACGGGUGAGUAACGCGUGAGGAAUCUGCCUCAAAGAGGGGGACAACAGUUGGAAACGACUGCUAAUACCGCAUAAGCCCACGGUGCCGCAUGGCACAGAGGGAAAAGGAGUAAUCCGCUUUGAGAUGGCCUCGCGUCCGAUUAGCUAGUUGGUGAGGUAACGGCCCACCAAGGCGACGAUCGGUAGCCGGACUGAGAGGUUGAACGGCCACAUUGGGACUGAGACACGGCCCAG